RNAcentral lists this ribosomal RNA (403 nucleotides) under bacterium. RNAcentral describes it as "partial 16S ribosomal RNA". It matches the Rfam family "Bacterial small subunit ribosomal RNA", at positions 355 to 776 of the family's 1533-position model. The record is from RNAcentral.
UGGGGAAUAUUGCACAAUGGAGGGAACUCUGAUGCAGCGACGCCGCGUGAACGAAGAAGGCUUUCGAGUCGUAAAUUUCUUUUAUAUGGGAAGAUAAUGACGGUACCAUAAGAAAAAGCCCCGGCUAACUACGUGCCAGCAGCCGCGGUAAUACGUAGGGGGCUAGCGUUGUCCGGAAUCACUGGGCGUAAAGGGUUCGCAGGCGGAAAUGCAAGUCAGGUGUAAAAGGCAGUAGCUUAACUACUGUAAGCAUUUGAAACUGCAUAUCUUGAGAAGAGUAGAGGUAAGUGGAAUUUUUAGUGUAGCGGUGAAAUGCGUAGAUAUUAAAAAGAAUACCGGUGGCGAAGGCGGCUUACUGGGCUCAUUCUGACGCUGAGGAACGAAAGCGUGGGUAGCAAACAGG